Molecule: ribosomal RNA, 484 nt
Filed under: uncultured bacterium
Lineage: Bacteria
Description: partial 16S ribosomal RNA
Rfam family: Bacterial small subunit ribosomal RNA
Source: RNAcentral
AUUGAACGCUGGCGGCAGGCCUAACACAUGCAAGUCGAGCGGAUGAAGGGAACUUGCUCCUGGAUUCAGCGGCGGACGGGUGAGUAAUGCCUAGGAAUCUGCCUGGUAGUGGGGGAUAACGUCCGGAAACGGGCGCUAAUACCGCAUACGUCCUGAGGGAGAAAGUGGGGGAUCUUCGGACCUCACGCUAUCAGAUGAGCCUAGGUCGGAUUAGCUAGUUGGUGGGGUAAGGGCCUACCAAGGCGACGAUCCGUAACUGGUCUGAGAGGAUGAUCAGUCACACUGGAACUGAGACACGGUCCAGACUCCUACGGGAGGCAGCAGUGGGGAAUAUUGGACAAUGGGCGAAAGCCUGAUCCAGCCAUGCCGCGUGUGUGAAGAAGGUCUUCGGAUUGUAAAGCACUUUAAGUUGGGAGGAAGGGCAGUAAGUUAAUACCUUGCUGUUUUGACGUUACCAACAGAAUAAGCACCGGCUAACUUCGUG